Long non-coding RNA from Gasterosteus aculeatus aculeatus (three-spined stickleback), 2481 nucleotides. RefSeq lists it as uncharacterized. Lineage: Eukaryota; Metazoa; Chordata; Actinopteri; Perciformes; Gasterosteidae. The record is from RefSeq and is a predicted model, not a curated record.
CUGAAACGAGAGAAGAGUUCAUUUCCAAAAUAAAACAGGAAGUCACAAAAAACAACAUGGCGACAGGACAAAAACCCAACUUGACAUACAGGUGUGACAAACAUAAGAAAAACUAUACUUUAUUGAGCGAUAUUAACCCUCCUCCCACAUUCGUUUCUCCCACUUUACUUAAGUGUUCACAUCUGUUUUAACUGCUCUCACAUUAACACAACAAUCGUUAAUCAUCACUCCAUUUGGUAUAACAUCUUUUUAAUUGAAGCUGUAAACAACGUCUCAGACUAGUGGUUUUUACACUUUUCAGCUCACCUGUCUAUAUUCAUUUAUUUAUUUGAUUUAUUUACUGGAUUUAUAUUAUCUAGAUGAUGACAGAUGAUGUUUUUAUUAAUAAUCCAUUGAACUUUCUGACUGAAUUCCACUUUGUGCUUGGUGUGACAUUGUAUUGUUGCAGAAAUAGUCAUGGUUUUCUUUUGCGUUCGACUUCUGAAUUUCCGAGUGCCCCCUGAACGCCUCAGUGAACACUACAACUGAACUAACUGCGAAUGCGCACCGUUUCGUCCUGUCGUCUUCUCUGGUAAGUCAUUGUGAGCCGCUAACGGAGAAUGAUUUAAACAAUAUAAAUACAAUAGAACGUUUUGAAAAGCUGUUGAGGUUAGUUUGUACCUCAGAGUUUAUAACUACAUGGAUGAAAGUGAAAUAUUACCCAUGUAUUGCAUAUGCUGACGCCUGUUUAACAUUAGCAUAGCAGCUAUUAUGACUUUAGCAUGUUAUGUUAACGUUACAUAUGAGUUUGGGGGGGGGAGAUGCCACGUCUUUAGCUAACUACCGCGUCAGUUAACGUUAACUAAGUACCCGGUUAGCUAGCUAACGUUACUUUAUCAGUUAACGUGGCUAAAGUCAGUGCUAGCCGAUAUGCUAGUGUUAGUUGACCGUUGACGUCAUGUUCACACCCAACGUGGCGCGAAUUUCUUGCGCUAUUGUAAAAGCGUAACAUACAACAUGACGCGUUUGUAGGCUCUUCCUGUCCUUACUAUAUUGUAGCUUCUUUGUUCACAUAGAGCUCUAUGAGACAUGUUUGUACAGAACGAAUUAAACUGUGUACGAGCCACUAUGGUGUAAAUUAUAAUGACGCCUUAUGACUUAUUUUAGAGUGUUGGUGGAGCUGCUACAACGUUAGCUUAGGCUAGCACUGCUCCAUCCAGGCUCCAUUCAGAGAACGAGCAUUUUAAAGUUCGAAACAAUUAACAAAACAUGAACAAAAUUGUUCAUGUGUUCAUCGAUCGGCUUCCUCUCCUGCAGGCUGACUCUGACGUGUAAGUUCACACACAUUGUUAAUGUUUAUGCUACAAGUAAACUGAUAUUACAUUGGUUUACAGUUUUAAAUGUCCUCCCAUCAUAAUAAUCUGUACAGAUACAGAUAAGAGGUAACAAUAAUCACCCGACCGUAAGAACAGUUCUGGAGUGAAAUGGGAUGUGAUACACUGAUUUUCUGAGAAGAAUGUAAAUGUAAUAUUGGUAGUAUUUCUCUCCCGACUCUUCCUGUUUCCUCACUGUCUUUAACUACAGACCAUCACUGCUGGUGACUUCACAGUGUCCUGCUGUGCAGCAUCUCUCCUCUAUCACGUUGGCUCUCCAUCUCUCCUGUCACAUCUACCGCUCUGUCUUUUGCAUUUGGCAACUCACACUUUGUGUCCCCCUCUAUCCCACUCUCAUGUUGGUAAUCUUUGGCAAUGAAAUGGAACAAACUCUGGAGACCUUUUUCUGAACUGAAUUUUGGACUAAGCUACGGUCACAAGGACCUGUCUGUUGGCUUGACUUGGGUUACCGGUACCUGAUCUAUCUGAUUUGAAUACUCUGAGAGACUCUCUUCUCUCACACCCAACACUAUUGCUGUUUUUACAACUUGGAAAAAGCAUUUAUACUAUUUCUGAGACCAACACAAUUGGUUAAACAUAUACAUAUUUUGUCGUAAUUGAUAAAGGGUACAACUUUUAUCAUUAAGAAUUGAAUGGUACAUUUUCAAAUAUAUAAUUUCUUAUAGUAAAUCAUUACAUCAACAUAAUUCAAGAAAGUUGCUCCCUUGUUACUUUACAUAAAAGCAAUUGUAGUAAAAGUCUAUUAUAAAAUGAAUAGUUAAUUUCCUGAUUAUUGCGGCUUUGGAGCUCUGCUGGUUUGUACCCAAACUUUGUUUUGGUAGCAGUACCCUAGAACUCUGGAAAUAAUUUCCUGUAUAAACGUACAUUAUUUCAAUCAUUCAGUGUAUUUGUGUAUUUUAGUUGUUUCACUUUGUUCAUACUGAAAUAAAAAAAAGCCAUCUAUAAGGAGGAAGUGGAUUCAUUGGGAGUUGAGUUGAGACGUUGUUCAGAAUCUUUCAUCCAUCAUCAAGUUGCCACAACAACGCUUCCUGAUUUAAUACAAACUCUAGUAUUAUAAGUUGUUCUCUUGGUGUUCUUGAUCAAUAAAAGCAGACAAAGGUUUCAUCUA